UACGUAGGGAGCAAGCGUUGUCCGGAAUCAUUGGGCGUAAAGCGCGCGUAGGUGGCUCUGUAAGUCCGUUGUGAAAGUCAAAGGCUCAACCUUUGAAAGCCGAUGGAUACUGCAGAGCUAGAGUACGGAAGAGGCGAGUGGAAUUCCUGGUGUAGCGGUGGAAUGCGCAGAUAUCAGGAGGAACACCAAUAGCGAAGGCAGCUCGCUGGGACGUUACUGACACUGAGGCGCGAAAGCGUGGGGAGCAAACAGG
RNAcentral lists this ribosomal RNA (253 nucleotides) under uncultured bacterium. Its description in RNAcentral is "partial 16S ribosomal RNA". It matches the Rfam family "Bacterial small subunit ribosomal RNA", at positions 524 to 776 of the family's 1533-position model. The record is from RNAcentral.